This 253-nucleotide ribosomal RNA is filed under the name uncultured bacterium. Its description in RNAcentral is "partial 16S ribosomal RNA". It matches the Rfam family "Bacterial small subunit ribosomal RNA", at positions 524 to 776 of the family's 1533-position model. The record is from RNAcentral.
UACAGAGGGGGCAAGCGUUAUUCGGAAUUAUUGGGCGUAAAGGGCGCGUAGGCGGCCUGACAAGUGGAAGGUGAAAUCCCUCGGCUUAACCGAGGAACUGCCCUCCAAACUGUCUGGCUUGAGACCGGGAGAGGUGAGUGGAAUUCCCAGUGUAGCGGUGAAAUGCGUAGAUAUUGGGAGGAACGCCAGUGGCGAAGGCGGCUCACUGGACCGGUACUGACGCUGAUGCGCGAAAGCGUGGGGAGCAAACGGG